ACCAAUGAUUUGGAAUGCACACGAUUUCAUCAGAUCUCAGAGGCUAAGCAGGCUUAAUCCUGGAUAGUGCUUGGAUGGGUGACUACCAUGCACAGCAGGUUGAUA
Molecule: ribosomal RNA, 105 nt
Filed under: Petromyzon marinus (sea lamprey)
Lineage: Eukaryota; Metazoa; Chordata; Hyperoartia; Petromyzontiformes; Petromyzontidae
Source: RNAcentral